AACGUAGGUGGCGAGCGUUAUCCGGAUUUACUGGGCGUAAAGCGUGCGCAGGCGGCGCCGCAAGUCAGGCGUGAAAUCCCCGAGCUUAACUUGGGAAUGGCGCUUGAAACUACGGUGCUGGAGUGUGGCAGAGGGAGGUGGAAUUCCACGUGUAGCGGUGAAAUGCGUAGAGAUGUGGAGGAACACCGAUGGCGAAGGCAGCCUCCUGGGCCAACACUGACGCUCAUGCACGAAAGCGUGGGGAGCAAACAGG
This 253-nucleotide ribosomal RNA is filed under the name uncultured bacterium. RNAcentral describes it as "partial 16S ribosomal RNA". It matches the Rfam family "Bacterial small subunit ribosomal RNA", at positions 524 to 776 of the family's 1533-position model. The record is from RNAcentral.